RNAcentral lists this ribosomal RNA (506 nucleotides) under uncultured bacterium. RNAcentral describes it as "partial 16S ribosomal RNA". It matches the Rfam family "Bacterial small subunit ribosomal RNA", at positions 30 to 523 of the family's 1533-position model. The record is from RNAcentral.
AUUGAACGCUGGCGGCAGGCCUAACACAUGCAAGUCGAGCGGCAGCGGAAAGUAGCUUGCUACUUUGCCGGCGAGCGGCGGACGGGUGAGUAAUGUCUGGGAAACUGCCUGAUGGAGGGGGAUAACUACUGGAAACGGUAGCUAAUACCGCAUAAUGUCGCAAGACCAAAGAGGGGGACCUUCGGGCCUCUUGCCAUCAGAUGUGCCCAGAUGGGAUUAGCUAGUAGGUGGGGUAACGGCUCACCUAGGCGACGAUCCCUAGCUGGUCUGGGAGGAUGAACAGCCACACUGGAACUGGGACACGGUCCAGACUCCUACGGGAGGCAGCAGUGGGGAAUAUUGCACAAUGGGCGCAAGCCUGAUGCAGCCAUGCCGCGUGUAUGAAGAAGGCCUUCGGGUUGUAAAGUACUUUCAGCGGGGAGGAAGGUGUUGAGGUUAAUAACCUCAGCAAUUGACGUUACCCGCAGAAGAAGCACCGGCUAACUCCGUGCCAGCCGCCGCAGUAA